GCUGGGCAUGGUGGUGCACACUUGUAAUCCCAGCAACUUGGGAAGCUGAGGCAGGAGGAUCGCAAGUUUGAGGCCAGACUUGGCAACUUAGUGAGACCCUGUCUCAA
Molecule: small RNA, 107 nt
Filed under: Marmota monax (woodchuck)
Lineage: Eukaryota; Metazoa; Chordata; Mammalia; Rodentia; Sciuridae
Source: RNAcentral